GUACUGGAGUGGGUUGCCAUUUCAAUUGGAAAAAUACAGAGAUUAGCAGGGCCCCUGCACCAGGAUAACACACAAAGUCAUGAAGCGUCCCAUAUGUUU
This is a small nuclear RNA of Capra hircus (goat), 99 nucleotides long. Lineage: Eukaryota; Metazoa; Chordata; Mammalia; Artiodactyla; Bovidae. The record is from Ensembl.